UUGGCUCAGAACGAACGCUGGCGGCAGGCCUAACACAUGCAAGUCGGACGGUAGCACAGAGAGCUUGCUCUCGGGUGACGAGUGGCGGACGGGUGAGUAAUGUCUGGGGAUCUGCCCGAUAGAGGGGGAUAACCACUGGAAACGGUGGCUAAUACCGCAUAACGUCGCAAGACCAAAGAGGGGGACCUUCGGGCCUCUCACUAUCGGAUGAACCCAGAUGGGAUUAGCUAGUAGGCGGGGUAAUGGCCCACCUAGGCGACGAUCCCUAGCUGGUCUGAGAGGAUGACCA
RNAcentral lists this ribosomal RNA (289 nucleotides) under uncultured Pantoea sp. Its description in RNAcentral is "partial 16S ribosomal RNA". It matches the Rfam family "Bacterial small subunit ribosomal RNA", at positions 19 to 306 of the family's 1533-position model. The record is from RNAcentral. Lineage: Bacteria; Pseudomonadati; Pseudomonadota; Gammaproteobacteria; Enterobacterales; Erwiniaceae.